GACGAACGCUGGCGGCGUGCUUAACACAUGCAAGUCGAACGGUAAGGCCCUUCGGGGUACACGAGUGGCGAACGGGUGAGUAACACGUGGGUGAUCUGCCCUGCACUUCGGGAUAAGCCUGGGAAACUGGGUCUAAUACCGGAUAGGACCACUGCCUGCAUGGGUGGUGGUGGAAGGCUUUUGCGGUGUGGGAUGGGCCCGCGGCCUAUCAGCUUGUUGGUGGGGUGAUGGCCUACCAAGGCGACGACGGGUAGCCGGCCUGGGAGGGUGACCGGCCACACUGGGACGGAGAUACGGCCCAGACUCCUACGGGAGGCAGCAGUGGGGAAUAUUGCACAAUGGGCGCAAGCCUGAUGCAGCGACGCCGCGUGAGGGAUGACGGCCUUCGGGUUGUAAACCUCUUUCAGUAGGGACGAAGCGCAAGUGACGGUACCUACAGAAGAAGGACCGGCCAACUACGUGCCAGCCGCCGCCGUAA
Molecule: ribosomal RNA, 478 nt
Filed under: uncultured bacterium
Lineage: Bacteria
Description: partial 16S ribosomal RNA
Rfam family: Bacterial small subunit ribosomal RNA
Source: RNAcentral